ACUUUUGAUCAAUUCAAUGCAUCUUUGCUGGAUACAAAAAAAAAAAAAACCUUAAUGACCCCAAACAUUUGAACAGUGUAUCAGAUAAGAAUAAUACAUGGUUGGACGUGUAAUACAUGAGAGCAAAUCAACUAAUGUUCAUGAACACAGUAUAGUGUCUUCAUGUCAAAACCAAAAGAGUUUGAUUUUCACAUUGAGAGAAAAAAAAAAAGUCUAAUUGGUUAAAUGAAAGCUACUGAAUUUUUUUAUUAUUUUCCUGAAAAUGAAUAAUUAUAAACCACUUAUGCAUAGAGCUAAAAAAAAUUAUCUGAACCAAUUAUCUUGUCCAAUAAAUAUUAUGUAAUAAUUGGCAUGUUUUUAUUGUAUAGCAUAUGAAUCUUGCACAUAUAAUUGUUUAUGUUCUUGGUAUGUUUUAUAUUUGUUUAUACCUACAACGUUGAAAAUAAAAAAAAAGGUUGUUCAUCCUCUUUCUGCUCUUGCUGUAAAUGAGCUCAAAACACAAACUUGUGAAAAGUUUUGAAACUGCUCAAAGUUCACACUCCAGAUGUCUUUAAUACUUUUAUCUUAUCAGUUGGUAACACUUACUUCCAUGUUAUCGGUUUGCUUGGCCAAGUAUCAAUAUUACUCCUGCUUACGCCUUGUGGUUUUGUUCAAAUCACUACUAACAUACGUGCAGCACAGCAACUUUUCCACAAAAUGAAACUCAUGAACAUGCAGUAAAUGCAGUAAAAAAAUUGAUUUCAUGUUUUUGCACAUGUCUUUGAUUGGACAGCCAAAAACUUGUCCUUAUCUAACACAGAGAUGAUUGUACAAGGGAAUCAUGGGAAUCUAAGCAGCCGAAAGUGUCACAGCAGUAAAUCCAGCUGGAUCUCAUCAGAAUCGUGCUCAAGAACAGCGAAGGUCUGACUGGCUUCAGGCUCGUUUGCCUGUUUUCAUUCAUUGUGUCGUGAACACGUGACAUACUGCUACUAUACAACAUCUUUCUUUACAGUUCAUGUGAUACAACAAAAGGUAUUUAUAUGUGUGUGUGUGUGUGUGUGUGUGUGUGUGUGUGUGUGUGUGUGUGUGUGUGUGUGUAUAGCCUAUUUAUAUCGGCCAUCGUUUUUAGAGGAUCCUAUUUCUAUCUACACCAGAAAAACAAAAUGUCUCUUGCAUGUAUGCCGAAAACUCAAGCAAAUGCUAGAUUUCUCCAUGAAUAUUUACAUGACGUUAUUGUUGACACACAUCGAGUGACCGACAAGAACGAAUUGACAAAAUUGAAGUGAAAAUGCAAAAAUGCAAAUGUUAACUCCUUACGAAAAUUAACUAUGGUUUUACUACAAUUAAAAAGGUAGUUAGCCUACUAAAAAAAAAAAAAAAAAAA
Pimephales promelas (fathead minnow) is the source of this 1363-nucleotide non-coding RNA. The record is from RefSeq and is a predicted model, not a curated record. NCBI's taxonomy places the organism in Eukaryota, Metazoa, Chordata, Actinopteri, Cypriniformes, Leuciscidae.